UGGUAGUUUCAGUCAAGUGACGCGUGUGC
This 29-nucleotide non-coding RNA is filed under the name Rattus norvegicus (Norway rat). Lineage: Eukaryota; Metazoa; Chordata; Mammalia; Rodentia; Muridae. The record is from RNAcentral.